This 30-nucleotide non-coding RNA is filed under the name Rattus norvegicus (Norway rat). Lineage: Eukaryota; Metazoa; Chordata; Mammalia; Rodentia; Muridae. The record is from RNAcentral.
UGGGGAUGCCAUGCUCUAGGAUGCAGCCUC